Molecule: non-coding RNA, 145 nt
Organism: Gossypium hirsutum (cotton)
Lineage: Eukaryota; Viridiplantae; Streptophyta; Magnoliopsida; Malvales; Malvaceae
Source: Rfam
GUUUAAAAAUUUUAACCUUUUGUGCCUUUAAAUACUUGUGUGGCUGACAAAAUAAUUAGAUAGUAACACAUAGCAUGCCAUGUGUAUCUCAUGUUGACAUAUAGGGACCAAUUAUUAAUAUUAAAAAUGGAUGAAAUUUUUAAUA